Molecule: ribosomal RNA, 253 nt
Filed under: uncultured bacterium
Lineage: Bacteria
Description: partial 16S ribosomal RNA
Rfam family: Bacterial small subunit ribosomal RNA
Source: RNAcentral
UACAGAGGUCUCGAGCGUUAGGCGGAAUCACUGGGCUUAAAGCGUGUGUAGGUGGAUCGGUAAGUACCUUGUGAAAUCCCACGGCUUAACUGUGGAACUGCUUGGUAUACUGCCAGUCUUGAGCCACUUAGGGGCUACCGGAACAAAUGGUGGAGCGGUGAAAUGCGUAGAUAUCAUUUGGAACGCCAAUGGUGAAAACAGGUAGCUGGGAGUGUGCUGACGCUGAGACACGAAAGCCAGGGGAGCAAACGGG